AAUACCUUUCACAAUUUUCUUUUUCAGAAAUAAUGCAUAUCCCAGACAAAAUUGAUAAAGAAUAAAUUAAUUUGCUUUUUAUUUCAAAUCUUUUGGGUUUGGGUUUAUUACUUGAGUAAAAAAAAAAUCCGUAUUUUUCCCGGACCGGUUUUUACUUUUAUCGGAUCAAAGUGUACUUCAUGUUUGACGUCACUGCUGCAGCAGAAGUGCUGGGUGUUGGAAAAAUCCAAGAAGCCCAAAGCUGAUAAGACUGGCGAUUGAUUCAAAAGCUGAUUGUGACAGACGAUUGCAUCAUCACAAUAUUAAAGAGACCAUUCUGUGCCACAAAGAAAUUGUUCAGGAAGGGGAGAACUGGUGGAUUUGCAUUUUUGGUACAGUUCAAAGAGAUUUUCAGAAUGGUCAAAUCAGAGGGAGGACGAAACUGAACAUAUUGAAAAGAUACAGAAGGAAAAAGAACCUGGAAAUAUAUGGAAUAAUUAUGAAAUGUGGAGGAUGUACACAAUCUUGUCUGAAUUUGACCUGUAAAGAUUUCCCAUUCUUAUUUGUA
Molecule: long non-coding RNA, 547 nt
Organism: Saccostrea cuccullata (small rock oyster)
Lineage: Eukaryota; Metazoa; Mollusca; Bivalvia; Ostreida; Ostreidae
Exons: 3
Source: RefSeq, a predicted model, not a curated record